AUUGAACGCUGGCGGCAGGCCUAACACAUGCAAGUCGAGCGGUAGAGCGAAGCUUGCUUCCCUUGAGAGCGGCGGACGGGUGAGUAAUGCCUAGGAAUCUGCCUGGUAGUGGGGGAUAACGUUCGGAAACGGACGCUAAUACCGCAUACGUCCUACGGGAGAAAGCAGGGGACCUUCGGGCCUUGCGCUAUCAGAUGAGCCUAGGUCGGAUUAGCUAGUUGGUGGGGUAAUGGCUCACUAAGGCGACGAUCCGUAACUGGUCUGAGAGGAUGAUCAGUCACACUGGAACUGAGACACGGUCCAGACUCCUACGGGAGGCAGCAGUGGGGAAUAUUGGACAAUGGGCGAAAGCCUGAUCCAGCCAUGCCGCGUGUGUGAAGAAGGUCUUCGGAUUGUAAAGCACUUUAAGUUGGGAGGAAGGGCAGUAAAUUAAUACGUUGCUGUUUUGACGUUACCGACAGAAUAAGCACCGGCUAACUCUGUG
Molecule: ribosomal RNA, 484 nt
Filed under: uncultured bacterium
Lineage: Bacteria
Description: partial 16S ribosomal RNA
Rfam family: Bacterial small subunit ribosomal RNA
Source: RNAcentral